RNAcentral lists this ribosomal RNA (430 nucleotides) under uncultured bacterium. Its description in RNAcentral is "bacterial SSU rRNA". It matches the Rfam family "Bacterial small subunit ribosomal RNA", at positions 30 to 444 of the family's 1533-position model. The record is from RNAcentral.
AUUGAACGCUGGCGGCGUGCCUAACACAUGCAAGUCGAGCGGUAACAGGUGUAGCAAUACAUGCUGACGAGCGGCGAACGGGUGAGUAAUGCUUCGGAAUCUGCCCAUGUAGUGGGGAAUAACCAGCCGAAAGGUUGGCUAAUACCGCAUACGACCCUUGCCCACAAGGCAAAGGUGAAUGCAGGGGAUCGCAAGACCUUGCGCUAUUGGAUGAGCCGAAGUCGGAUUAGCUAGUUGGUAGGGUAACGGCCUACCAAGGCGACGAUCCGUAGCUGGUCUGAGAGGACGACCAGCCACACUGGGACUGAGACACGGCCCAGACUCCUACGGGAGGCAGCAGUGGGGAAUAUUGGACAAUGGGCGCAAGCCUGAUCCAGCGAUGCCGCGUGUGUGAAGAAGGCCUGCGGGUUGUAAAGCACUUUCAGAAGGG